UGGUUCAGGGUCCUCUAUCCCCAA
Molecule: transfer RNA, 24 nt
Filed under: Rubus trifidus
Lineage: Eukaryota; Viridiplantae; Streptophyta; Magnoliopsida; Rosales; Rosaceae
Description: partial tRNA-Leu
Source: RNAcentral